ACACGUGGUAUCCUGUCUGAAUAUGGGGGGACCAUCCUCCAAGGCUAAAUACUCCUGACUGACCGAUAGUGAACCAGUACCGUGAGGGAAAGGCGAAAAGAACCCCGGCGAGGGGAGUGAAAAAGAACCUGAAACCGUGUACGUACAAGCAGUGGGAGCCCCACCACUAAGCCAGUGGUGAACUCCACAUCCGCAUCCUUUGCUGAGGAUACGGUUAACGGAGCGAAAGCGACGUUCAACCGCAAAACAAGCAGAGGGGGCUUAGUGGUGGGGUGACUGCGUACCUUUUGUAUAAUGGGUCAGCGACUUAUAUUCUGUAGCAAGGUUAACCGAAUAGGGGAGCCGGAGGGAAACCGAGUCUUAAUUGGGCGUUAAGUUGCAGGGUAUAGACCCGAAACCCGGUGAUCUAGCCAUGGGCAGGUUGAAGGUUGGGUAACACUAACUGGAGGACCGAACCGACUAAUGUUGAAAAAUUAGCGGAUGACCUGUGGCUGGGGGUGAAAGGCCAAUCAAACCGGGAGAUAGCUGGUUCUCCCCGAAAGCUAUUUAGGUAGCGCCUCGUGAAUUCAUCUCCGGGGGUAGAGCACUGUUUCGGCUAGGGGGCCAUCCCGGCUUACCAACCCGAUGCAAACUGCGAAUACCGGAGAAUGUUAUCACGGGAGACACACGGCGGGUGCUAACGUCCGUCGUGAAGAGGGAAACAACCCAGACCGCCAGCUAAGGUCCCAAAGUCAUGGUUAAGUGGGAAACGAUGUGGGAAGGCCCAGACAGCCAGGAUGUUGGCUUAGAAGCAGCCAUCAUUUAAAGAAAGCGUAAUAGCUCACUGGUCGAGUCGGCCUGCGCGGAAGAUGUAACGGGGCUAAACCAUGCACCGAAGCUGCGGCAGCGAACGUAUCACCCAAGACAACUUUACGGAGUUGACGAUUGACGGAGCGAAGCGACGUCAAAGCGUUCAUUAAAGUCGAGUUGGCUUAGGGAUACGUUCGUUGGGUAGGGGAGCGUUCUGUAAGCCUGUGAAGGUGUGUCGUGAGGCAUGCUGGAGGUAUCAGAAGUGCGAAUGCUGACAUAAGUAACGAUAAAGCGGGUGAAAAGCCCGCUCGCCGGAAGACCAAGGGUUCCUGUCCAACGUUAAUCGGGGCAGGGUGAGUCGACCCCUAAGGCGAGGCCGAAAGGCGUAGUCGAUGGGAAACGGGUUAAUAUUCCCGUACUUGGUGUUACUGCGAAGGGGGGACGGAGAAGGCUAUGUUGGCCGGGCGACGGUUGUCCCGGUUUAAGCGUGUAGGUGUGUGUUCCAGGUAAAUCCGGUUCACUUUAACACUGAGGCGUGACGACGAGGCACUACGGUGCUGAAGCAACAAAUGCCCUGCUUCCAGGAAAAGCCUCUAAGCAUCAGGUAACACGAAAUCGU
Molecule: ribosomal RNA, 1408 nt
Filed under: Salmonella enterica subsp. enterica serovar Typhimurium
Lineage: Bacteria; Pseudomonadati; Pseudomonadota; Gammaproteobacteria; Enterobacterales; Enterobacteriaceae
Description: partial 23S ribosomal RNA
Rfam family: Bacterial large subunit ribosomal RNA
Source: RNAcentral